Long non-coding RNA from Camarhynchus parvulus, 277 nucleotides. RefSeq lists it as uncharacterized. The transcript is spliced from 3 exons. NCBI's taxonomy places the organism in Eukaryota, Metazoa, Chordata, Aves, Passeriformes, Thraupidae. The record is from RefSeq and is a predicted model, not a curated record.
CCCCCUGGCGCUGCUCAGCCUCGAGCUGGGAACCGAUGACGUCAUCACCGACCUCGUGCGCCUCGUGCUGGCCCUGCAGGACGCGGCUCAGGAGGAGCCGCAGCUGCCGGAGCUGUCGCGCUGCGUGCUGCCCGCGCUCGGAGCCGCGCUCCUGCUGCUCCUGGGCCACCUGCUCGCGGUCCCUCCCUUCCUGCAGCACGUCCAGGAGGUGAUCGAGGCGCGGCAGCGCUCGGCUCCGUUCCUGCUGCCCGAGGAGGCCCUGGGGGACAACCCCCGG